Choloepus didactylus (southern two-toed sloth) is the source of this 1061-nucleotide long non-coding RNA. RefSeq lists it as uncharacterized. The transcript is spliced from 3 exons. NCBI's taxonomy places the organism in Eukaryota, Metazoa, Chordata, Mammalia, Pilosa, Megalonychidae. The record is from RefSeq and is a predicted model, not a curated record.
AGUCUCCGCCAGUCCCUGCCAGCCUGCCAAUAGACGUCGAACCUGAAGGGGUCGCAGUCCCUGUUCCGGGUGGCGCCCACCAGGUUCCGCAGAGGCCCGAGCGGCUCUGGAGGGCACGGGGUCCGCGGGUGCCGCCGGAGACCAAACAUCUGCCAGGGGGUCCGGACCGCCCUGGCGGCGAUGGCAACAGCAGCAGAAGACAGUGGCAGGAGUGCAGGUCCAGUAUUUCGGUGACAGUGCUCCCCAAAGGACACCAGCCCGAUGGAGAUGGUCUGCAGGAACGGCCGGAUGGCGGGAGUGAACUGUGGAGAGAUGCAGCUGCAUCACCCACCACCCAGGUGAGGGAUGGGGCAGAAGUGAGGGGCAGAGGCUGGGCAGACAUUUAGUGAGCUCCUGCUGUGUAUCAGGCACUGUUCUAGGCGCCUUCCUGGAGCUGGUAGUCUUGAAUGGAAGACAGAUGAUAAGCAAAUAAACAAAGAUGUAUGGAAUAUGAUGUUAAGUUCUAAAGGUUAAUGUUUUGAAGAGAAAGGCAGUUGGCAAAGGGGACGGACAGUGACGAGUGAGGGUCAGGCUGCUUGGACGAUCUUUCCUGCAGAAGGCACGGAAAGCCCAAAGGCUCUGAGGUGGGCCCCUGCUUGGCGUAAAACAAGGAGGCCAGUGUAGCUGGAGCAGAGUGAGCCAGGGAGGGGCGCAGGAGGUGAGGCCAGAGAGGUAAGGGGCUCAAGCCAAAUCGGGCCUUGGCUGAGGAAUUUGGAUUUUAGUCUGAGUGUGGAGCGGAGCCACUGGAGUGGGGACAGUGAGCUGACAGCAGGAAGCUGCCGAGCGUCAGGACAAAGAUGGGGUGAGGCAGGUGGUGGGAGCCAGGUAUGGGGCUGCAGGAAGGUAGAAGCCAGGAGAUGGUCAGAGACAGACAGACAGGGUUAGAGAUCUUGAGGCAGACAGUCAAACAGGGAGACUGAGGCCCAGAGAUGGGGGCAGACAGCCACCAAGAGCUAGGACAUGGGGAAACAGAGGGAAGGGCAGAUGCAGAGUCUGAGAGAGGGGAGGGACAGUUGGGAAAA